Molecule: ribosomal RNA, 457 nt
Filed under: uncultured bacterium
Lineage: Bacteria
Description: bacterial SSU rRNA
Rfam family: Bacterial small subunit ribosomal RNA
Source: RNAcentral
AGAGUUUGAUCAUGGCUCAGAACGAACGCUGGCGGCAGGCUUAACACAUGCAAGUCGAACGCUCGUAGCAAUACGGGAGUGGCGGACGGGUGAGUAACGCGUGGGAACGUGCCCUGAGGUACGGAAUAACUGAGGGAAACUUCAGCUAAUACCGUAUGAGCCCCGAGAGGGGGAAAGAUUUAUCGCCUUGGGAGCGGCCCGCGUCGGAUUAGCUAGUUGGUGGGGUAACGGCCUACCAAGGCUUCGAUCCGUAGCCGGUCUGAGAGGACGAUCAGCCACACUGGGACUGAGACACGGCCCAGACUCCUACGGGAGGCAGCAGUGGGGAAUCUUGCGCAAUGGGGGCAACCCUGACGCAGCCAUGCCGCGUGAACGAUGAAGGCCUUAGGGUUGUAAAGUUCUUUUACCCGUGACGAUGAUGACGGUAACGGGGGAAUAAGCUCCGGCUAACUUCGUG